CCUACGGGGGGCAGCAGUGGGGAAUAUUGGGCAAUGGGCGCAAGCCUGACCCAGCAACGCCGCGUGAAGGAAGAAGGCUUUCGGGUUGUAAACUUCUUUUCUCAGGGACGCAGCAAGUGACGGUACCUGAGGAAUAAGCCACGACUAACUACGUGCCAGCAGCCGCGGUAAUACGUAGGUGGCAAGCGUUAUCCGGAUUUACUGGGUGUAAAGGGCGUGUAGGCGGGGACGCAGGUCAGAUUGGAAAACGACGGGACAAACCUGUGGCCUGCAUUUGAAACUGUGUUUCUUGAGUACGGGAGAGGCAGAUGGAAUGCCUAGUGUAGCGGUGAAAUGCGUAGAUAUUAGGAGGAACACCAGUGGCGAAGGCAGUCUGCUGGACAGCAACUGACGCUGAGGCGCGAAAGCGUGGGGAGCAAACAGGAUUAGAUACCCGGGUAGUC
This 443-nucleotide ribosomal RNA is filed under the name uncultured bacterium. Its description in RNAcentral is "partial 16S ribosomal RNA". It matches the Rfam family "Bacterial small subunit ribosomal RNA", at positions 338 to 795 of the family's 1533-position model. The record is from RNAcentral.